GAGUUUGAUCAUGGCUCAGAUUGAACGCUGGCGGCAGGCCUAACACAUGCAAGUCGAGCGGUAGCACAGAGAGCUUGCUCUCGGGUGACGAGCGGCGGACGGGUGAGUAAUGUCUGGGAAACUGCCUGAUGGAGGGGGAUAACUACUGGAAACGGUAGCUAAUACCGCAUAACGUCGCAAGACCAAAGUGGGGGACCUUCGGGCCUCAUGCCAUCAGAUGUGCCCAGAUGGGAUUAGCUAGUAGGUGGGGUAACGGCUCACCUAGGCGACGAUCCCUAGCUGGUCUGAGAGGAUGACCAGCCACACUGGAACUGAGACACGGUCCAGACUCCUACGGGAGGCAGCAGUGGGGAAUAUUGCACAAUGGGCGCAAGCC
Molecule: ribosomal RNA, 376 nt
Filed under: Klebsiella quasipneumoniae subsp. similipneumoniae
Lineage: Bacteria; Pseudomonadati; Pseudomonadota; Gammaproteobacteria; Enterobacterales; Enterobacteriaceae
Also listed under: 1 other name
Description: bacterial SSU rRNA
Rfam family: Bacterial small subunit ribosomal RNA
Source: RNAcentral